Molecule: unclassified non-coding RNA, 240 nt
Filed under: soil metagenome
Description: partial contains 5.8S ribosomal RNA, internal transcribed spacer 2, and large subunit ribosomal RNA
Source: RNAcentral
AACGCACGAGACCUGCGGACCUGCGGAGGGAUCAUUACCGAGUUCUCGCCCCUCGCGGGGUAGACCUCCCACCCACUGUGAUCACUACCGUCGUUGCUUUGGCGGGCCGCUGGGCCCAGCCCACCGCCGGCCCCGGCUGGCGCGUGCCCGCCAGAGGCCCUACAAACGCUGGAUAUCAGUGCCGUCUGAGUACACAUGUUAAUCGUUAAAACUUUUAACAACGGAUCUCUAGAUCGGAAG